UACGGGGGGGGCAAGCGUUGUUCGGAAUUACUGGGCGUAAAGGGCUCGUAGGCGGCCUACUAAGUCAGACGUGAAAUCCCUCGGCUUAACCGGGGAACUGCGUCUGAUACUGGAUGGCUUGAAUCCGGGAGAGGGAUGCGGAAUUCCAGGUGUAGCGGUGAAAUGCGUAGAUAUCUGGAGGAACACCGGUGGCGAAGGCGGCAUCCUGGACCGGCAUUGACGCUGAGGAGCGAAAGCCAGGGGAGCAAACGGG
Molecule: ribosomal RNA, 253 nt
Filed under: uncultured bacterium
Lineage: Bacteria
Description: partial 16S ribosomal RNA
Rfam family: Bacterial small subunit ribosomal RNA
Source: RNAcentral